GCCUCGAUAGCUCAGUUGGGAGAGCGUUAGACUGAAGAUUUAUAAAGGUCACCAGUUCGAUCCUGGUUCGGGGCA
Non-coding RNA from Caenorhabditis brenneri, 75 nucleotides. Lineage: Eukaryota; Metazoa; Nematoda; Chromadorea; Rhabditida; Rhabditidae. The record is from the annotation of a GenBank genome assembly.